This 300-nucleotide long non-coding RNA is filed under the name Olea europaea (common olive). RNAcentral describes it as "long non-coding RNA (OEUR_LNC003923)". Lineage: Eukaryota; Viridiplantae; Streptophyta; Magnoliopsida; Lamiales; Oleaceae. The record is from RNAcentral.
AUAAAAGCACUAGAAUCUUAAUUCAACGAAAUAAAGGGUUCCAAAAGAUUACGUUGUUCGCCCUAAUUUUGAUUUAGCUACGCAUAAUAAUGAAAGAAAAACACAAGUUUAUUAGGAAAUUCAUCACCGGGUCAAUUGACGGAACGUAAAUAAUUUGCAAGACUGAAUCUGCCGUGUCUGCUUCUUUUCAAUUUCAGCCCCUUGUCUUGUGUGUGUGAUUAGCAGCCGCCAAUUUUAUUAAUUGAAGAAGUCAAGUUGAAGCCACCGUUUCUGUAUCAGUUUUUGUAUAUAUUCUGCUUU